GAUGAACGCUAGCUACAGGCUUAACACAUGCAAGUCGAGGGGAAACGACAUCGAAAGCUUGCUUUUGAUGGGCGUCGACCGGCGCACGGGUGAGUAACGCGUAUCGAACCUGCCCCAUACCCGGGGAUAGCCUUGCGAAAGUAAGAUUAAUACCCGAUGGUUUCCUUUUAUCUCCUGAUAUUAGGAAUAAAGAAUUUCGGUAUGGGAUGGCGAUGCGUCCGAUUAGCUAGUUGGCAGGGUAACGGCCUACCAAGGCGACGAUCAGUAGCCGACCUGAGAGGGUGAUCGGCCACAUUGGGACUGAGACACGGCCCAAACUCCUACGGGAGGCAGCAGUGGGGGAUAUUGCACAAUGGAGGAAACUCUGAUGCAGCGACGCCGCGUGAGUGAAGAAGUAUUUCGGUAUGUAAAGCUCUAUCAGCAGGGAAGAUAAUGACAGUACCUGACUAAGAAGCCCCGGCUAACUACGUG
This 471-nucleotide ribosomal RNA is filed under the name uncultured bacterium. RNAcentral's name for it is "bacterial SSU rRNA". It matches the Rfam family "Bacterial small subunit ribosomal RNA", at positions 28 to 507 of the family's 1533-position model. The record is from RNAcentral.